GACGAACGCUGGCGGCGUGCCUAAUACAUGCAAGUUGAGCGCUGAAGGUUGGUACUUGUACCAACUGGAUGAGCAGCGAACGGGUGAGUAACGCGUGGGGAAUCUGCCUUUGAGCGGGGGACAACAUUUGGAAACGAAUGCUAAUACCGCAUAAAACCUUUAAACACAAGUUUUAAGUUUGAAAGAUGCAAUUGCAUCACUCAAAGAUGAUCCCGCGUUGUAUUAGCUAGUUGGUGAGGUAAAGGCCCACCAAGGCGAUGAUACAUAGCCGACCUGAGAGGGUGAUCGGCCACAUUGGGACUGAGACCCGGCCCAAACUCCUACGGGGGGCAGCAGUAGGGGAUCUUCGGAUAUGGACGAGAGUCUGACCGAGCAAGGCCGCGUGAGUGAAGAAGGUUUUCGGAUCGUAAAACUCUGUUGGUAGAGAAGAACGUUGGGGAGAGUGGAAAGCGCAUCAAGUGACGGUAACUACCCAGAAAGGGACGGCUAACUACGUG
This 497-nucleotide ribosomal RNA is filed under the name uncultured bacterium. Its description in RNAcentral is "partial 16S ribosomal RNA". It matches the Rfam family "Bacterial small subunit ribosomal RNA", at positions 28 to 507 of the family's 1533-position model. The record is from RNAcentral.